Molecule: long non-coding RNA, 487 nt
Organism: Pezoporus occidentalis (night parrot)
Lineage: Eukaryota; Metazoa; Chordata; Aves; Psittaciformes; Psittacidae
Exons: 2
Source: RefSeq, a predicted model, not a curated record
CCUCCUGCAUGUUGUCUUUAAAUCCUCUUAAGGCUGACUGAUUCUUUUUAACAAUUUGCAUCUCUUGCUACAGAAGACCAAUCUAGCAUGUGUUCUUGGGGAACAUGCCCAAGAAAGGAGGGAGGCAUGCUGACAGGGCAAAUGAUGGGCCCGUACAGUGUAAACGAGCAAAGGUGGAAGCAGCUUGUUCUCCAUCAGCCAUGAGUUUUGAGAACCCAGACAGCCUCUUUGGAAGCUUGAUCUCUCCCAUCAAACAAGAGGUGUUUUUCAGGGAGUACUGGGAGCAAAAGCCAUUGCUUGUUCAGAGGAACAAUCCCCUGCUGGCUGCCUACUACCAGUCCCUGUUCCAGUUGUCAGAUCUGAAGGAACUGUGUGGCCGGGGUCUGUACUAUGGGCGGGAUCUAAAUAUCUGCAGAUGUGUGAAUGGAAAAAAGAAAGUUUUAAAUAAAGAAGGCAAAGUGAACUACAUGCAGCUGAAGAAGGAUUU